AUUGAACGCUGGCGGCAGGCCUAACACAUGCAAGUCGAAUGGUAACAGGAAACAGCUUGCUGUUUCGCUGACGAGUGGCGGACGGGUGAGUAAUGUCUGGGAAACUGCCUGAUGGAGGGGGAUAACUACUGGAAACGGUAGCUAAUACCGCAUAACGUCGCAAGACCAAAGAGGGGGACCUUCGGGCCUCUUGCCACCAGAUGUGCCCAGAUGGGAUUAGCUAGUAGGUGGGGUAACGGCUCACCUAGGCGACGAUCCCUAGCUGGUCUGAGAGGAUGACCAGCCACACUGGAACUGAGACACGGUCCAGACUCCUACGGGAGGCAGCAGUGGGGAAUAUUGGACAAUGGGCGCAAGCCUGAUGCAGCCAUGCCGCGUGUAUGAAGAAGGCCUUCGGGUUGUAAAGUACUUUCAGCGGGGAGGAAGGGAGUAAAGUUAAUACCUUUGCUCAUUGACGUUACCCGCAGAAGAAGCACCGGCUAACUCCGUG
RNAcentral lists this ribosomal RNA (490 nucleotides) under uncultured bacterium. RNAcentral describes it as "partial 16S ribosomal RNA". It matches the Rfam family "Bacterial small subunit ribosomal RNA", at positions 30 to 507 of the family's 1533-position model. The record is from RNAcentral.